Molecule: small nuclear RNA, 132 nt
Gene: U1
Rfam family: U1 spliceosomal RNA
About the family: U1 is a small nuclear RNA (snRNA) component of the spliceosome (involved in pre-mRNA splicing).
Source: Ensembl
ACAGAUACCUGAGUACUAACAGCGAGCCUUAUCCUUGUACCCUGGAGGUGCUGACUUCUGUGAUAUCUCUAAGUGUGGGAAACUCAACUCCAUAAUUUGUGACAGUGGGAGACUGCAUCAUGCUCUUCCCUG